UUUCUUUAGAUAAUGAAGUAGCUGAAAGCAGUUCAGGUGACUUACUGGUUGCAGGUCCACCCUUUGAUGACUCACACGGGAGGAAAUCAGUUGCUGCUUCGGUCUUCGACA
This is a long non-coding RNA of Myotis davidii, 111 nucleotides long. RefSeq lists it as uncharacterized. Lineage: Eukaryota; Metazoa; Chordata; Mammalia; Chiroptera; Vespertilionidae. The record is from RefSeq and is a predicted model, not a curated record. The transcript is spliced from 2 exons.